UACGAAGGGGCUAGCGUUGCUCGGAAUUACUGGGCGUAAAGCGCACGUAGGCGGACUGGAAAGUCAGGGGUGAAAUCCCGGGGCUCAACCCCGGAACUGCCUUUGAAACUCCCGGUCUUGAGGUCGAGAGAGGUGAGUGGAAUUCCGAGUGUAGAGGUGAAAUUCGUAGAUAUUCGGAGGAACACCAGUGGCGAAGGCGGCUCACUGGCUCGAUACUGACGCUGAGGUGCGAAAGCGUGGGGAGCAAACAGG
This 252-nucleotide ribosomal RNA is filed under the name uncultured bacterium. RNAcentral describes it as "partial 16S ribosomal RNA". It matches the Rfam family "Bacterial small subunit ribosomal RNA", at positions 524 to 776 of the family's 1533-position model. The record is from RNAcentral.